UGGUGCCAGCAGCCGCGGUAACUCCAGCUCCAAAAGCGUAUAUUAAAGUUGUUGCAGUUAAAAAGCUCGUAGUUGGAUCUGGGUCGUGUGAUUGCAUGCCGCUUCCUGUUCUUUUGAUUUGGUUACGAUCAAGGAUAUAGUUCGGGUCGGUGCAGUAGUCGCACAGCCUUUCAGUCGUAUCUGUGUAAACAGGUGUCGAUAGGCAGUGGGUUUACCCAUUAGCCUGUUGGCAUGCUUUCGGUGCCUUUAACCGGGUGACGGAGGCGGACGGCAUCUUUACUUUGAACAAAUUUGAGUGCUCAAAGCAGGCCACCGAGCCUGAAAAUUCUUGCAUGGAAUAAUAGAAAAGGACUUCGGUUCUAUUUUGUUGGUUUUCGGAUCUGAAGUGAUGGUUAAGAGGGACAGACGGGG
Molecule: ribosomal RNA, 411 nt
Filed under: Aporocotyle argentinensis
Lineage: Eukaryota; Metazoa; Platyhelminthes; Trematoda; Strigeidida; Aporocotylidae
Description: SSU rRNA
Rfam family: Eukaryotic small subunit ribosomal RNA
Source: RNAcentral